AGUAACUGAUGGAUAGAACACGAUCAAAGAGAAAACAAGGCUUCGAGAUGAUUGAUUAAACACAAGGAGCGUCAAAAACUUCUUUAACUAUUUCAGUGUUCCGUCGAGGUCGCCGUUAACACCCUCUCCUUCUUUUCCUCCGUCAAUCUCAGAUGAGGCUAACUGGAGAUAAAGAUCUAACCAAAUAUCCCUGGUGGAGAUGAUGGUUUGUGAAAGAGGCUUGGAUUUAUCUUAGAUGUGUGAGAGAUAUUUUUAUUUUAUUUUUUUACUCUCAUCUGAAUAAAUAAAAGUGAAGAAGAGAUUCAGCAUAAGAGACUAAAGUAUCGUAAGUAGAAGAGAUUUAGUAAGGGAUUUUUUUGUUAUUUCAUAAUGAAAAAGUAUAUGAGUAGCAAAAAGUAGGUAUAACUGAUAUUACUUUGUAAGAAAGUAGGUGUAGAUGCUAAUAUCUC
RNAcentral lists this long non-coding RNA (449 nucleotides) under Capsella rubella. Its description in RNAcentral is "long non-coding RNA (CRUB_LNC001607)". The record is from RNAcentral. Lineage: Eukaryota; Viridiplantae; Streptophyta; Magnoliopsida; Brassicales; Brassicaceae.